RNAcentral lists this ribosomal RNA (341 nucleotides) under uncultured bacterium. Its description in RNAcentral is "bacterial SSU rRNA". It matches the Rfam family "Bacterial small subunit ribosomal RNA", at positions 171 to 507 of the family's 1533-position model. The record is from RNAcentral.
GCAUAACGUCGCAAGACCAAAGAGGGGGACCUUCGGGCCUCUUGCCAUCAGAUGUGCCCAGAUGGGAUUAGCUAGUAGGUGGGGUAACGGCUCACCUAGGCGACGAUCCCUAGCUGGCUGAGAGGAUUAACCAGCCACACUGGAACUGAGACACGGUCCAGACUCCUACGGGAGGCAGCAGUGGGGAAUAUUGCACAAUGGGCGCAGGCCUGAUGCAGCCAUGCCGCGUGUAUGAAGAAGGCCUUCGGGUUGUAAAGUACUUUCAGCGGGGAGGAAGGGAGUAAAGUCAAUACCUUUGCUCAUUGACGUUACCCGCAGAAGAAGCACCGGCUAACUCCGUG